CCUGUCCCGCGGCCCCGUCCCGGAGCUCCCGGGGGAUCGCGAGUUCCCCUCCCGGUGCCGGGGACACGCAGCUCCUGCCCUGCCCUCUGCAGAGAGCACCCCUGAACCCGCUUGCACCCCUGAACCCUAAAAUUCACCUGUCCACCCGCUGAGUUGGAUUUAGGGCCCAAAUCAGGCAGAUUUCGUUAAAACGGUAGCGCUGACACAGGGCAGAGCAGGGUUUUGGAACAGCCCUGCUGGGGUCUGGAGCAGCCAAGCCAGACUAGAGAGGGGAGGAAUAAAGCAGCGCUUAAUUAUUCUGCACAGCACCGACCUGCCUUUCCCUGUGAUGAAAUCAGAGUCGCCAGCAUGACACCAAAUGCUUCAGCAAGCAGAACACAAACUGUCUCUGACACCUGCCUUUACUUGGCAUGGAGUGGUGACCGGCUGCCAACACAUUAAAAGCAGCCCACAUGGUAUCACAGCAAGGCUGCAGGUUUCUCUGAGCAUGAUGAAGGCAAAUGGCAAACCCACAGAUAAGGAAAACUGGCAAAAACCAACCCCAUUGGUGUGAUACUUCUAUCAAAGCACAACCUUUGCCAGAAAUUUCCCCAACACAUCUGCAACAAACCCCAUCACCCUAAACCCCAUCAUCCUAAACCCCAUCAUCCUAAACCCAUCCUUCUUCUGCACCCUCAGCCUCCUCCCAGCACCAGAAAUGCCUUGCAGACUGCUCUGUCAGCCCAUCAGUUGAAUGUAAAGAUCUGGUUUUAUUGCCCAAAAAUCAUUUAUUGCUGGCCUAAAAUAACUUUUCCUUCCAGCUUUUACCUGCUUAGAUUUGGUCUCAUUUAUUGCUUGUGUGAGUGUUGCAUUGCACCUGGAGAAAUUAAGUAACAGAAAGUGGGAGAAAGGCAAUGCUGGGUAUAAAAAGUGAAUUAAAAAAACAUAGGAGAGCAGCAAAUAUUGAGGAGUUUUCUGUUGUUUUCAUGACUCUUGGACAAGCUUCCUAUUUGUGGUGGUUUUUUCAGGAUAACUGUUGAUGUAGAGAACUUUGCUGGUGUCACACAUUCAGGUUUCUCCAAGACUUUUGGUUUGCACUGUGUGGAAUUUGCACCCAAACCCUUGUGCAGGGGACAGGACACAUCCAAGUGAGGACAGAUGAAGGGCUGAUGAUGAAUUCCAGCUCCAGUGUGUUUGAUAUCCAUAACAGAGGUAUCAUAAAGCCUUUCCUGGCUCUCAAGCAAUAAUCUGCUUUAAAUACGGAGAAGUGGAGUCGUGCAGGUGCUGUCGGGUGCUCAUGGCCCAGAAAACCCAAUUCAAAGGAUUUACUUGGACACAAAUGAUUCUCUUGUCCAGUGGAUGGCUGCUGCUGUCCUGCCAAGGAAAAGGAAUGGUUUGAAGGAUUUGGUGUCACUGUGGGGAGUUUUUCCCAAGGAAGAGAUCAGGGAAUUGUGGAAUUCCUUGGCAAAGGCGUGACAAAGAUCCUGAGGCUGGCAUUGGAUGAAAUAGGCUUGGCAGAGAGAUGCAAUUAGUGCUGAGGCUAAUUAAAUGCUUGGCUCAGGAGGACAGAGAGGUCACUUUCCUUCAAGGCCUGCAAGAUAGGAUCACAUGGAUCAAAGCUCAUUUGUGAGAGCAGCAGCCCCUGGAAAAAGGGCGGGUUCGGCUUCUUUUGGGUUAAACCCUGCAAAUCCACCAUGCCCAGCUCAUCCUGGUGGCCAAAACAACCAAUGAGGCCUAAUAUCAAAUGAUAAUAAAUGAUCAAACUCUUGGUGGUGGAGUUGGGAG
This 1764-nucleotide long non-coding RNA is filed under the name Cyanistes caeruleus (blue tit). RNAcentral's name for it is "lncRNA (ENSCCEG00000007503.1)". Lineage: Eukaryota; Metazoa; Chordata; Aves; Passeriformes; Paridae. The record is from RNAcentral.